RNAcentral lists this ribosomal RNA (255 nucleotides) under uncultured bacterium. RNAcentral describes it as "partial 16S ribosomal RNA". It matches the Rfam family "Bacterial small subunit ribosomal RNA", at positions 524 to 776 of the family's 1533-position model. The record is from RNAcentral.
UACGGGGGGAGCAAGCGUUGUUCAGAUUUACUGGGCGUAAAGGGCGCGUAGGCGGCCAGCGCAAGUCAGUUGUGAAAUCUCCGAGCUUAACUCGGAACUGUCAGCUGAUACUGAUGUGCUAGAGUGCGGAAGGGGCAAUCGGAAUUCUUGGUGUAGCGGUGAAAUGCGUAGAUAUCAAGAGGAACACCUGAGGUGAAGACGGGUUGCUGGGCCGACACUGACGCUGAGUGCGCGAAAGCCAGGGGAGCAAACGGG